Oryza nivara is the source of this 198-nucleotide non-coding RNA. The record is from Rfam. NCBI's taxonomy places the organism in Eukaryota, Viridiplantae, Streptophyta, Magnoliopsida, Poales, Poaceae.
AAAAAGCUAAACCCUGGGUUUCCGUGUCCAGAUCGUUCGUUUGAUAUGAAAUUUUUUUAUAAUUAGUAUUUUCAUUAUUGUUAGAUGAUAAAAUAUAAAUAAUAUUUUAUACGUGACUUGUCUUUUUAAUAUUUUUUAUAAUUUUUUCAAAUAAAAUAGACGAUCAACGUUGGAUACGGAAGACCAGAGCCACUGAGC